Molecule: long non-coding RNA, 203 nt
Filed under: Elaeis guineensis (African oil palm)
Lineage: Eukaryota; Viridiplantae; Streptophyta; Magnoliopsida; Arecales; Arecaceae
Description: long non-coding RNA (EGUI_LNC070895)
Source: RNAcentral
AUUUCAUUUCAUUAUGCGGUAUUCAGUAGUUAUCUGUCCAUUAUUCUCUAGGUAUAUGGUGGAUAGGGUGCGAUGUAAUUGUAUUCAUUAGAAUAUUAUUUAAUUUCUACUAUUAUUAUUUAAAUUAUAUUUAUUUAUAUCUCAAUUCCUGCAGAUAUGGUACCAGGAGACAAACGAUGACGUUCGCGUUCACAGCUCCCUGC